GGCGAACGCUGGCGGCGUGCUUAACACAUGCAAGUCGAACGAUGAAGUUCCUUCGGGAAUGGAUUAGUGGCGAACGGGUGAGGAACACGUGAGAAACCUGCCUUUCAUUUUGGGAUAACUCCGGGAAACCGGGGCUAAAACCGAAUACUCCGUCUCGGCGGCAUCGCUGAGCCGGGAAAAAAUUUUGAUGAAAGAUGGUCUCGCGGCCUAUCAGCUAGUUGGUGAGGUAAUGGCUCACCAAGGCAACGACGGGUAGCCGGCCUGAGAGGGCGACCGGCCACACUGGGACUGAGACACGGCCCAGACUCCUACGGGAGGCAGCAGUGGGGAAUAUUGGGCAAUGGGCGCAAGCCUGACCCAGCGACGCCGCGUGAGGGAUGAAGGCCUUCGGGUUGUAAACCUCUUUCAGUAGGGAAGAAGCGAAAGUGACGGUACCUAAAGAAGAAGCACCGGCUAACUAUGUGCCAGCAGCCGCCGCGG
This 480-nucleotide ribosomal RNA is filed under the name uncultured bacterium. Its description in RNAcentral is "partial 16S ribosomal RNA". It matches the Rfam family "Bacterial small subunit ribosomal RNA", at positions 28 to 523 of the family's 1533-position model. The record is from RNAcentral.